Portunus trituberculatus (swimming crab) is the source of this 1157-nucleotide long non-coding RNA. RefSeq lists it as uncharacterized. Lineage: Eukaryota; Metazoa; Arthropoda; Malacostraca; Decapoda; Portunidae. The transcript has 2 exons. The record is from RefSeq and is a predicted model, not a curated record.
AGCAGAUUCUCGUUCUCACUACCUCACAUCGUCGGCUUUCGGCUCGGCGUAGUGGCCGUGUGUCCUCGUCAGCCACCUCACCAUCGAGCGCUGACACUGAUACCUCUACGCUCGGGUUCUCUCUGCUGUCGUAGUUGCCUCCCCCUCAGGUGUUGUCUUGCCUUCUCUCUUAGUUGUUGGUGGGUUCUUGGGAUUACAAGGCUCACUGAUGAGCGUUGAGCCGCUUGUUUUGCAAGGAAGUCUGCAUUCGCGUUGCUUGAGAUCCCAACGUGGGAAGGAACCCAAUUGAUGGAGAUUGUUCUUCCUGCAUGGUAAAUGGCCUUGGCUGUGGUAAUGAUGGAGUGUGUCAGGCUAAUGUUUUCAUUGUUUGGCUUGCACAAUGAGGCGAUGGCUGUCAUGGAGUCAGAGUUGAUGAGGAUGUCGAGGUUGUGGCAGGUGUGGGCGUGGUCUAUGGCCAGCUUGAUAGCAGCUAACUCUACUUGCGUGGAGGAGGAGUGAUCUGUUACUCAGGCAGCUGUGGCGGUGGCGGCGGCGGUGAUGGUGGCGGCGGCGUGGUUCUCGUCUCUGUCACUCACAGCACACACAAACGCUGCUCCCGACCGCCCUUGCUCAUCUACAGAUCCAUCGUGGGACAACAAUUGUUAUGAUAGGCGGCUUUUCCCAUGGAGGACUCAUUUGUGUGCUUGGCGGUACGGUAGCAUCUCUCGUGUCUUCCCAGGUGACAGUAUACUCGCUCAUCAGGGCCGCUGCCUUGCUGACUACUAUUUUUACUACUACUACUACUACUACUACUACUACUACUACUACCACCACGCUGAUCAGGCCCAGGUGUGGAACUACCUGAGAACAGCCAGGCUAUGUGGGGCACGGCCCGGGGAUUAUAAUAUAGUGGAUUCCUCGCACUACGCCGAUCCCCUUCUAAGCCGGACCAGGUGCAGUCAGGGUCUCUCAACCCUGGGUGCAGUGACCUGACACCAGCUGGACGGUGUGAGGUCACGGGCCGGAUGUUCAGCCGAGGUCCUCGGCUGAACAUCCUGCUGACUGGAGAGUCCUCGGCCCGAGGACUCUUCAGUCAGCAUCGAAACUCCGUGACAUACGCACCUCUCGACUCAUCUCCGCUCGCUUGUGUGUAAAAUAAUAAACAGCAGUAACGAACA